Molecule: ribosomal RNA, 2843 nt
Filed under: Escherichia coli
Lineage: Bacteria; Pseudomonadati; Pseudomonadota; Gammaproteobacteria; Enterobacterales; Enterobacteriaceae
Description: partial 23S ribosomal RNA
Rfam family: Bacterial large subunit ribosomal RNA
Source: RNAcentral
GGUUAAGCGACUAAGCGUACACGGUGGAUGCCCUGGCAGUCAGAGGCGAUGAAGGACGUGCUAAUCUGCGAUAAGCGUCGGUAAGGUGAUAUGAACCGUUAUAACCGGCGAUUUCCGAAUGGGGAAACCCAGUGUGAUUCGUCACACUAUCAUUAACUGAAUCCAUAGGUUAAUGAGGCGAACCGGGGGAACUGAAACAUCUAAGUACCCCGAGGAAAAGAAAUCAACCGAGAUUCCCCCAGUAGCGGCGAGCGAACGGGGAGCAGCCCAGAGCCUGAAUCAGUGUGUGUGUUAGUGGAAGCGUCUGGAAAGGCGCGCGAUACAGGGUGACAGCCCCGUACACAAAAAUGCACAUGCUGUGAGCUCGAUGAGUAGGGCGGGACACGUGGUAUCCUGUCUGAAUAUGGGGGGACCAUCCUCCAAGGCUAAAUACUCCUGACUGACCGAUAGUGAACCAGUACCGUGAGGGAAAGGCGAAAAGAACCCCGGCGAGGGGAGUGAAAAAGAACCUGAAACCGUGUACGUACAAGCAGUGGGAGCACGCUUAGGCGUGUGACUGCGUACCUUUUGUAUAAUGGGUCAGCGACUUAUAUUCUGUAGCAAGGUUAACCGAAUAGGGGAGCCGAAGGGAAACCGAGUCUUAACUGGGCGUUAAGUUGCAGGGUAUAGACCCGAAACCCGGUGAUCUAGCCAUGGGCAGGUUGAAGGUUGGGUAACACUAACUGGAGGACCGAACCGACUAAUGUUGAAAAAUUAGCGGAUGACUUGUGGCUGGGGGUGAAAGGCCAAUCAAACCGGGAGAUAGCUGGUUCUCCCCGAAAGCUAUUUAGGUAGCGCCUCGUGAAUUCAUCUCCGGGGGUAGAGCACUGUUUCGGCAAGGGGGUCAUCCCGACUUACCAACCCGAUGCAAACUGCGAAUACCGGAGAAUGUUAUCACGGGAGACACACGGCGGGUGCUAACGUCCGUCGUGAAGAGGGAAACAACCCAGACCGCCAGCUAAGGUCCCAAAGUCAUGGUUAAGUGGGAAACGAUGUGGGAAGGCCCAGACAGCCAGGAUGUUGGCUUAGAAGCAGCCAUCAUUUAAAGAAAGCGUAAUAGCUCACUGGUCGAGUCGGCCUGCGCGGAAGAUGUAACGGGGCUAAACCAUGCACCGAAGCUGCGGCAGCGACGCUGAUGCGUUGUUGGGUAGGGGAGCGUUCUGUAAGCCUGCGAAGGUGUGCUGUGAGGCAUGCUGGAGGUAUCAGAAGUGCGAAUGCUGACAUAAGUAACGAUAAAGCGGGUGAAAAGCCCGCUCGCCGGAAGACCAAGGGUUCCUGUCCAACGUUAAUCGGGGCAGGGUGAGUCGACCCCUAAGGCGAGGCCGAAAGGCGUAGUCGAUGGGAAACAGGUUAAUAUUCCUGUACUUGGUGUUACUGCGAAGGGGGGACGGAGAAGGCUAUGUUGGCCGGGCGACGGUUGUCCCGGUUUAAGCGUGUAGGCUGGUUUUCCAGGCAAAUCCGGAAAAUCAAGGCUGAGGCGUGAUGACGAGGCACUACGGUGCUGAAGCAACAAAUGCCCUGCUUCCAGGAAAAGCCUCUAAGCAUCAGGUAACAUCAAAUCGUACCCCAAACCGACACAGGUGGUCAGGUAGAGAAUACCAAGGCGCUUGAGAGAACUCGGGUGAAGGAACUAGGCAAAAUGGUGCCGUAACUUCGGGAGAAGGCACGCUGAUAUGUAGGUGAAGUCCCUCGCGGAUGGAGCUGAAAUCAGUCGAAGAUACCAGCUGGCUGCAACUGUUUAUUAAAAACACAGCACUGUGCAAACACGAAAGUGGACGUAUACGGUGUGACGCCUGCCCGGUGCCGGAAGGUUAAUUGAUGGGGUUAGCGCAAGCGAAGCUCUUGAUCGAAGCCCCGGUAAACGGCGGCCGUAACUAUAACGGUCCUAAGGUAGCGAAAUUCCUUGUCGGGUAAGUUCCGACCUGCACGAAUGGCGUAAUGAUGGCCAGGCUGUCUCCACCCGAGACUCAGUGAAAUUGAACUCGCUGUGAAGAUGCAGUGUACCCGCGGCAAGACGGAAAGACCCCGUGAACCUUUACUAUAGCUUGACACUGAACAUUGAGCCUUGAUGUGUAGGAUAGGUGGGAGGCUUUGAAGUGUGGACGCCAGUCUGCAUGGAGCCGACCUUGAAAUACCACCCUUUAAUGUUUGAUGUUCUAACGUUGACCCGUAAUCCGGGUUGCGGACAGUGUCUGGUGGGUAGUUUGACUGGGGCGGUCUCCUCCUAAAGAGUAACGGAGGAGCACGAAGGUUGGCUAAUCCUGGUCGGACAUCAGGAGGUUAGUGCAAUGGCAUAAGCCAGCUUGACUGCGAGCGUGACGGCGCGAGCAGGUGCGAAAGCAGGUCAUAGUGAUCCGGUGGUUCUGAAUGGAAGGGCCAUCGCUCAACGGAUAAAAGGUACUCCGGGGAUAACAGGCUGAUACCGCCCAAGAGUUCAUAUCGACGGCGGUGUUUGGCACCUCGAUGUCGGCUCAUCACAUCCUGGGGCUGAAGUAGGUCCCAAGGGUAUGGCUGUUCGCCAUUUAAAGUGGUACGCGAGCUGGGUUUAGAACGUCGUGAGACAGUUCGGUCCCUAUCUGCCGUGGGCGCUGGAGAAUUGAGGGGGGCUGCUCCUAGUACGAGAGGACCGGAGUGGACGCAUCACUGGUGUUCGGGUUGUCAUGCCAAUGGCACUGCCCGGUAGCUAAAUGCGGAAGAGAUAAGUGCUGAAAGCAUCUAAGCACGAAACUUGCCCCGAGAUGAGUUCUCCCUGACUCCUUGAGAGUCCUGAAGGAACGUUGAAGACGACGACGUUGAUAGGCCGG